Molecule: ribosomal RNA, 249 nt
Filed under: uncultured bacterium
Lineage: Bacteria
Description: partial 16S ribosomal RNA
Rfam family: Bacterial small subunit ribosomal RNA
Source: RNAcentral
ACGCUGGCGACCGGCGCACGGGUGAGUAACGCGUAUGCAACCUACCCUUUACCGGGGGAUAGCUUUCGGAAACGGAAAUUAAUACCCCAUAACAUUACCAGGUGGCAUCACCAGGUACUUAAAACUCCGGUGGUAACGGAUGGGCAUGCGUAACAUUAGCUAGUUGGCAGGGUAACGGCCUACCAAGGCAAUGAUGUUUAGGGGUCCUGAGAGGGUGAUCCCCCACACUGGUACUGAGACACGGACCAG